UACGGGGGGAGCAAGCGUUGUUCGGAUUUACUGGGCGUAAAGGGCGCGUAGGCGGUCAGUGCAAGUCAGUUGUGAAAUCUCUGGGCUUAACUCAGAACGGUCAACUGAUACUGCUCGACUAGAGUACAGAAGGGGCAACUGGAAUUCUCGGUGUAGCGGUGAAAUGCGUAGAUAUCGAGAGGAACACCUGCGGCGAAGGCGGGUUGCUGGGCUGAUACUGACGCUGAGGCGCGAAAGCUAGGGGAGCGAACGGG
This 254-nucleotide ribosomal RNA is filed under the name uncultured bacterium. Its description in RNAcentral is "partial 16S ribosomal RNA". It matches the Rfam family "Bacterial small subunit ribosomal RNA", at positions 524 to 776 of the family's 1533-position model. The record is from RNAcentral.